RNAcentral lists this ribosomal RNA (497 nucleotides) under uncultured bacterium. RNAcentral describes it as "partial 16S ribosomal RNA". It matches the Rfam family "Bacterial small subunit ribosomal RNA", at positions 28 to 507 of the family's 1533-position model. The record is from RNAcentral.
GAUGAACGCUGGCGGCGUGCCUAAUACAUGCCAGUCGAGCGAACAGACGAGGAGCUUGCUCCUCUGACGUUAGCGGCGGACGGGUGAGUAACACGUGGAUAACCUACCUAUAAGACUGGGAUAACUUCGGGAAACCGGAGCUAAUACCGGAUAAUAUAUUGAACCGCAUGGUUCAAUAGUGAAAGACGGUUUUGCUGUCACUUAUAGAUGGAUCCGCGCCGCAUUAGCUAGUUGUUAAGGUAACGGCUUACCAAGGCAACGAUGCGUAGCCGACCUGAGAGGGUGAUCGGCCACACUGGAACUGAGACACGGUCCAGACUCCUACGGGAGGCAGCAGUAGGGAAUCUUCCGCAAUGGGCGAAAGCUUGACGGAGCAACGCCGCGUGAGUGAUGAAGGUCUUCGGAUCGUAAAACUCUGUUAUUAGGGAAGAACAAAUGUGUAAGUAACUAUGCACGUCUUGACGGUACCUAAUCAGAAAGCCACGGCUAACUACGUG